Molecule: ribosomal RNA, 551 nt
Filed under: uncultured archaeon
Lineage: Archaea
Description: bacterial SSU rRNA
Rfam family: Archaeal small subunit ribosomal RNA
Source: RNAcentral
ACGGGGAGCAGCAGGCGCGAAACCUCUGCAAUAGGCGAAAGUUUGACAGGGUUACUCUGAGUGAUUUCCGUUAAGGAGAUCUUUUGGCACCUCUAAAAAUGGUGCAGAAUAAGGGGUGGGCAAGUCUGGUGUCAGCCGCCGCGGUAAUACCAGCACCACGAGUGGUCGGGACGUUUAUUGGGCCUAAAGCAUCCGUAGCCGGUUCCACAAGUCUUCCGUUAAAUCCACCUGCUCAACAGAUGGGCUGCGGAAGAUACUAUGGAGCUAGGAGGCGGGAGAGGCAAGCGGUACUUAGUGGGUAGGGGUAAAAUCCGUUGAUCCACUGAAGACCACCAGUGGCGAAGGCGGCUUGCCAGAACGCGCUCGACGGUGAGGGAUGAAAGCUGGGGGAGCAAACCGGAUUAGAUACCCGGGUAGUCCCAGCUGUAAACGAUGCAGACUCGGUGAUGAAUAGGCUUCGUGCCUAUUCAGUGCCGCAGGGAAGCCGUUAAGUCUGCCGCCUGGGGAGUACGAUCGCAGAUUGAGACUUAAAGGAAUUGGCGGGGGAGCAC